RNAcentral lists this small nuclear RNA (63 nucleotides) under Capra hircus (goat). Lineage: Eukaryota; Metazoa; Chordata; Mammalia; Artiodactyla; Bovidae. The record is from RNAcentral.
GUGCUCGCCUCGACAGCACAUAUACUAAAAUUGGAACGAUACAGAGAAGAUUAGCAUGGCCCC